RNAcentral lists this ribosomal RNA (153 nucleotides) under uncultured bacterium. RNAcentral's name for it is "partial 16S ribosomal RNA". It matches the Rfam family "Bacterial small subunit ribosomal RNA", at positions 355 to 507 of the family's 1533-position model. The record is from RNAcentral.
UAAGGAAUAUUGGUCAAUGGUUUAACAACUGAACCAGCGACGCCGCGUGUGGGAUGAAGGGGCUCUGCCUUGUAAACCACUGUCGGAUGGGACGAAAAGCGAGCUCCGCUCGCCCAGACGGUACCAUCAAAGGAAGGGUCGGCUAACUACGUG